Molecule: unclassified non-coding RNA, 200 nt
Filed under: soil metagenome
Description: partial contains internal transcribed spacer 2 and large subunit ribosomal RNA
Source: RNAcentral
CCUGUUCGAGCGUCAUUUAAACUCUCAAGCCCCGCUUGGUUUUGGGUGCGGCCCCCGGGCCUCCCGCAACUCGUUGGGCGGGACCGUCCGGCUUCAAGCGUAGCAGAAUCUUCCCUCGCUUCGGAGCCCGGCGGCCCUCACCAGGGAACACCAUCUCAAAGUUUGGCCUCGGAUCAGGUAGGGAUACCCGCUGAACUUAA